This 497-nucleotide ribosomal RNA is filed under the name uncultured bacterium. RNAcentral describes it as "partial 16S ribosomal RNA". It matches the Rfam family "Bacterial small subunit ribosomal RNA", at positions 28 to 507 of the family's 1533-position model. The record is from RNAcentral.
GAUGAACGCUGGCGGCGUGCCUAAUACAUGCAAGUCGAGCGAACAGAUGAGGAGCUUGCUCCUCUGACGUUGGCGGCGGACGGGUGAGUAACACGUGGAUAACCUACCUAUAAGACUGGGAUAACUACGGGAAACCGGAGCUAAUACCGGAUAAUAUAUUGAACCGCAUGGUUCAAUAGUGAAAGACGGUUUUGCUGUCACUUAUAGAUGGAUCCGCGCCGCAUUAGCUAGUUGGUAAGGUAACGGCUUACCAAGGCAACGAUGCGUAGCCGACCUGAGAGGGUGAUCGGCCACACUGGAACUGAGACACGGUCCAGACUCCUACGGGAGGCAGCAGUAGGGAAUCUUCCGCAAUGGGCGAAAGCCUGACGGAGCAACGCCGCGUGAGUGAUGAAGGUCUUCGGAUCGUAAAACUCUGUUAUUAGGGAAGAACAAAUGUGUAAGUAACUAUGCACGUCUUGACGGUACCUAAUCAGAAAGCCACGGCUAACUACGUG